This 111-nucleotide ribosomal RNA is filed under the name Faecalibacterium prausnitzii. RNAcentral describes it as "partial 16S ribosomal RNA". It matches the Rfam family "Bacterial small subunit ribosomal RNA", at positions 1423 to 1533 of the family's 1533-position model. The record is from RNAcentral. Lineage: Bacteria; Bacillati; Bacillota; Clostridia; Eubacteriales; Oscillospiraceae.
GAAGUCGGUAGUCUAACCGCAAGGAGGACGCCGCCGAAGGUAAAACUGGUGAUUGGGGUGAAGUCGUAACAAGGUAGCCGUAGGAGAACCUGCGGCUGGAUCACCUCCUUU